GUCCCUAUCGUCUAGAGGCCUAGGACAUCGCCCUUUCACGGCGGUAACCGGGGUUCGAAUCCCCGGAGGGACGCCA
This 76-nucleotide transfer RNA is filed under the name Acinetobacter baumannii. RNAcentral's name for it is "tRNA-Glu". It matches the Rfam family "tRNA". From Rfam's summary of the family: Transfer RNA (tRNA) molecules are approximately 80 nucleotides in length. The record is from RNAcentral. Lineage: Bacteria; Pseudomonadati; Pseudomonadota; Gammaproteobacteria; Moraxellales; Moraxellaceae.